CCAUUAACUAUUAAAAGUUUCGUUUUGGUCCCUUAACUUACUUUUUGGUUUCGUUUUGGUCCCUUAACUAUUAAAAGUUUCGUUUUGGCCCCUUAACUUAUUUUUUGGUUUCGUUUUGGUCCCUUAACUCUAAUACAGUCAUCUAACAUAAAGGACCAAAGUGGUUGACGGAGGAAGAGUUAAGGGACCAAAAUGAAACCAAAAAAUAAGUUAAGGGACCAAAACGAAACUUUUAAUAGUUAAGGGACCAAAAUGAAACCAAAAAGUAAGUUAAGGGACCAAAACGAAACUUUUAAUAGUUAAGGGA
RNAcentral lists this microRNA precursor (307 nucleotides) under Medicago truncatula (barrel medic). RNAcentral's name for it is "MIR2655 microRNA precursor family". It matches the Rfam family "MIR2655 microRNA precursor family". The record is from Rfam by way of RNAcentral. Lineage: Eukaryota; Viridiplantae; Streptophyta; Magnoliopsida; Fabales; Fabaceae.